UACGUAGGGGGCAAGCGUUGUCCGGAUUUAUUGGGCGUAAAGAGCGUGUAGGCGGCCACGUAGGUCUGCUGUGAAAACUCGAGGCUUAACCUCGAGGUGUCGGCGGAAACCAUGUGGCUAGAGUCCGGAAGAGGAGAAUGGAAUUCCCGGUGUAGCGGUGAAAUGCGCAGAUAUCGGGAAGAACACCCGUGGCGAAGGCGGUUCUCUGGGACGGUACUGACGCUGAGACGCGAAAGCGUGGGGAGCGAACAGG
Molecule: ribosomal RNA, 253 nt
Filed under: uncultured bacterium
Lineage: Bacteria
Description: partial 16S ribosomal RNA
Rfam family: Bacterial small subunit ribosomal RNA
Source: RNAcentral